This 530-nucleotide ribosomal RNA is filed under the name uncultured fungus. RNAcentral describes it as "partial 18S ribosomal RNA". The stretch from base 188 to 341 matches the Rfam family "5.8S ribosomal RNA". Lineage: Eukaryota; Fungi. The record is from RNAcentral.
UCCGUAGGUGAACCUGCGGAAGGAUCAUUACAGAAAUAGGAGAAGGUUGCUUAACUGCAAUCCUUUUCUUUCUACACAUGUGUUUUUCUUUUUUUUGAAAACUUUACUUUGGUGGGCCCACGGCCUGCCAGAGAUUAAACUCAACCAAAUUUUUAUUUAAUUGUCAACUUGAUUAACUAAUAGUCAAAACUUUCAACAACGGAUCUCUCGGUUCUCGCAUCGAUGAAGAACGCAGCGAAACGCGAUAAGUAAUAUGAAUUGCAGAUAUUCGUGAAUCAUCGAAUCUUUGAACGCACAUCGCGCCCUUUAGUAUUCCAAAGGGCAUGCCUGUUUGAGCGUCAUUUCUUCCUCAAACCUUCUGGUUUGGUGUUGAGUGAUACGCCGGGUUUGCUUGAAAGAAAGGCGGAGUAUAAACUAAUGGAUAGGUUUUUUUUUCCACUCAUCGGUACAAACUCCAAACAUUCUUCCAAAUUCGACCUCAAAUCAGGUAGGACUACCCGCUGGACUUAAGCAUAUCAAUAAGCGGAGGA